UUACGGUCAUAUCGUGCUGAAACACUGUUCCCGUGUGAUCGCCAAGGUUAAGCAACGUCGCGUUGGUCAGUACCAUGAUGGAUGACCGCUUGAAAAUACCAGAUGUUGUAAG
Non-coding RNA from Acanthosepion pharaonis, 112 nucleotides. The record is from the annotation of a GenBank genome assembly. Lineage: Eukaryota; Metazoa; Mollusca; Cephalopoda; Sepiida; Sepiidae.